This 506-nucleotide ribosomal RNA is filed under the name uncultured bacterium. RNAcentral's name for it is "partial 16S ribosomal RNA". It matches the Rfam family "Bacterial small subunit ribosomal RNA", at positions 30 to 523 of the family's 1533-position model. The record is from RNAcentral.
AUUGAACGCUGGCGGCAGGCCUAACACAUGCAAGUCGAACGGUAACAGGAAACAGCUUGCUGUUUCGCUGACGAGUGGCGGACGGGUGAGUAAUGUCUGGGAAACUGCCUGAUGGAGGGGGAUAACUACUGGAAACGGUAGCUAAUACCGCAUAACGUCGCAAGACCAAAGAGGGGGACCUUCGGGCCUCUUGCCAUCGGAUGUGCCCAGAUGGGAUUAGCUAGUAGGUGGGGUAACGGCUCACCUAGGCGACGAUCCCUAGCUGGUCUGAGAGGAUGACCAGCCACACUGGAACGGAGACACGGUCCAGACUCCUACGGGAGGCAGCAGGGGGGAAUAUUGCACAAUGGGCGCAAGCCUGAUGCAGCCAUGCCGCGUGUAUGAAGAAGGCCUUCGGGUUGUAAAGUACUUUCAGCGGGGAGGAAGGGAGUAAAGUUAAUACCUUUGCUCAUUGACGUUACCCGCAGAAGAAGCACCGGCUAACUCCGUGCCAGCAGCCGCCGUAA